AUACGGAGGGGGCUAGCGUUGUUCGGAAUCACUGGGCGUAAAGCGCACGUAGGCGGUUCGUUAAGUUGGGCGUGAAAGCCCGGGGCUCAACCCCGGAGGUGCGUUCGAAACUGGCGGACUAGAGUCCGGGAGAGGGUGGUGGAAUUCCCAGUGUAGAGGUAAAAUUCGUAGAUAUUGGGAAGAACACCAGUGGCGAAGGCGACCACCUGGUCCGGUACUGACGCUGAGGUGCGAAAGCGUGGGGAGCAAACAGGAUUAGAUACCCCGGUAGUCC
Molecule: ribosomal RNA, 274 nt
Filed under: uncultured bacterium
Lineage: Bacteria
Description: partial 16S ribosomal RNA
Rfam family: Bacterial small subunit ribosomal RNA
Source: RNAcentral